ACUGUCACGUUCUCUAUCUCUAGAUCUAGAUCUAUCUCGAUCCAAGGUUACAUCGUUUUAUUAGCUCGUGACUUAACCCUACCCGUGCAAGAGCCUCCCCUAUAAAUACGUAUCUUUCACUGGGAAUUUGUAUCUAGGGUUUUGUUUCUGUCCCCUACUGUGUUGUUUUGGUUUUUCGGCAGCAUGAAUGAGCGCUUCAUCCAGUAAUCCUUCCCUGCAAAGUCCUUUUCCACUUUGAUGAUGCACAAGAGGCUAUAUUAUACCGAGCAUGGAAGCUUUCGUAGGUGGCUUGCGUGAAUUGGGAGAUCUUGAUGAGCUAUUGACACCAUUUAAAGCCACUGAAAAGUCGGUUGAAACCUAUUCUUCUGAUCUAUUGCUUGGUUUGGUAUUCAAACCCUUUUCGUGGCUUUUUGACAUCUUGAUGUUUAUACGGUCUAGACUUUGCAUAGAAGGAUUACUAUUUGAAGCAUUCAUCGAGCUAUAAACACUGAAGGGGAUCGAUGUUCAAAACUGGCUUAAUCAAAGAUGCACAAGAUCUUUGUUAGUUUGUGAUUUAUUGCCUUCUUUAUACAGGAAAUAUGGAGCAAUGCUUGAAGGCAUGUUCUAUAUGAAUCCUAAUGCUGGAUGAGUGGUAGCAUUAAAACGAUGGGUGAUGGCGGAACAGUACUAGGUUUGCCGGCAUGGCUCUCGGGCCUGCACUGCUCAACCAUAUUUUUCAACGCACUGAACCCUCUAACGGGCCAAAUAUAUCACAUGUUACCUCCCGUUCUGUACCAAAAUUCACCCCUUAAAUUUUGUGUAGAUAUCUUGUAUUUUUAGUGUGCUUUGCGAUAUUAUUUUGGUUUUUGGCCGCCAGCAGUUGUACAUAUCAAGAGUAGGUGGAGAUUCAGGAGGUGUUUGGUUUUUUACGUCAUUGUAUAAUAAAUUAAUAUUUUCA
This is a long non-coding RNA of Manihot esculenta (cassava), 937 nucleotides long. RefSeq lists it as uncharacterized. The record is from RefSeq and is a predicted model, not a curated record. The transcript has 2 exons. Lineage: Eukaryota; Viridiplantae; Streptophyta; Magnoliopsida; Malpighiales; Euphorbiaceae.